UUUCAGCCACUUCUUUUAAAAAAAAUCUGAAAUUUUUCUCUCCCCCCUCUUCUUUUUCCAAAAGCCGGCCAAGAGUCUCCCCUUUUUUCGCGGAAUGGCCUCCUCGGUGAGUUUCCCUCUCUUCUUCUUUAUUUUCGUUAAAAUAAAUAAAUAAAAACAACGAUAAAAUAAAUAAAUAAAUAAAAACGCAAGAUUGCAAUCUAAGAACCAGGAAUCACCUUGGUUUUCCUUGCCUUUUUAUUUAUUUUCUUUGAUUUUGUCUGACUAUUACAAAAGGAGAAAUCCAAAGAAAAAAAAGAAAAACCCCCUUUUAAGUUACAUUUCUUUCGGCUUUUAUAUCCGAUUUUACUAUUGUUGUUGUUUCCUUUGCAGGUGGCUGGCGGCGCAAGUGGCGAUGGUGAUGGACGUGUGGUGGUGAAUGACGUGCGGUGGUGGCAGUGGCUAGGGGUAGGGUGCGGCGCCACUUGAUUAGGGGCUAGGGUUUUACUUUUGUUUUUUCUGAAAAUGGGUAUUGGGCCUGGGGUAUUGGGUUUGGUUCAAUUGGGUUUGGGUUUAGGUCUUGGGCUGGUGGGUUAGUUGGGUAGUUGGGUCUGUUUUUGUUUUGUUUGUUGGGCCCAGGUUUGGGCAAAAUUGGGUUGUACAAAAUUUUAAUAAUGUUUUAAUUUUUUAUGAAAUAUAUGUGAAUUGCCACACUAAUACUAUUAAAUUUUCAUGAUCUAGUCAACUUUUUCAUCUAGAAAAAUACAAUUGAACUAAAUUUUGAAGAUUGAGAAGCAAAAUAAUCCAAUAAAAAAUAAAACAAAAAAAAUAAUAAAAAAAAUUAUCAUCAUAUACUCUACUCUUUUUUCCCCCCA
RNAcentral lists this long non-coding RNA (854 nucleotides) under Gossypium raimondii (Peruvian cotton). RNAcentral's name for it is "long non-coding RNA (GRAI_LNC004097)". The record is from RNAcentral. Lineage: Eukaryota; Viridiplantae; Streptophyta; Magnoliopsida; Malvales; Malvaceae.